This 5860-nucleotide unclassified non-coding RNA is filed under the name Mizuhopecten yessoensis (Yesso scallop). Its description in RNAcentral is "uncharacterized LOC110456057, transcript variant X2". Lineage: Eukaryota; Metazoa; Mollusca; Bivalvia; Pectinida; Pectinidae. The record is from RNAcentral.
CAGGGGAGAUGGAUACAACAGUCACCGAUUUGACCGAAGAAGAAAUUGAUGCAUUUACACUACGAGAAGCAAUUAAAACAGCCAAUAGUAAAAGCAUAUCAAUAGACGGAUUGAAAAAACUGAAGGAGAUUUUAUGCAAACUGAAAUCAAAUUUAGUGAAGGAUAGACGAAAACGAGAAGAGGUUAUUGCAUCUUUGGAUUCUGUGGCUGCAGAAAAUCAUGAAUUGAGGAAGGAGCUACACAGUGUGUAUAAAGAGGUGAUUGAAUUGUUGCAAGAUGUGGAGCGUAAUGACGAAAACAACCCUCUCACGGAGCUGCUACAUCUACACUAUGAAAACUUCUUUGAUACGCUCCAGAAGGAGAAGGGCACACUAUCAGGAAAUACAUCCAGGUGCCCCAUCUUAGUUUUAGGAGAGACUGGGGCAGGGAAGAGUUCCUUCAUCAACUUGUUGCUAGGUGAGGAGGCCCUGCCUACACAGGUCCUUAGCAACACCAAUGUCAUCUGUGAGAUACAGUACAGCGACAGCUAUUGGGCCAUCCUGUAUACCGCUGGGGAUGAACAGAAAAGGAUUGGAGAUGUAGACAAGUCAAACUUCUUCAAGACCCUGGCCGAACACAUACAGAAGUCGAGUGGAUCUGAGACGGGCAACACUAUAAAGUAUCAGAGAGCUCAAAUUUAUCUCCCCUGUGAUAUUUUAAAGACAGGGUUGGUGAUUGUGGACAGUCCUGGGAUCGGAGACACACCAGAGAUGACCCAAAUGGUUCUAGAUUAUAUUAUUGAAGCCAGUUCCUUCAUCUACAUCAUCAACAGUGCUAAUGCAGGCGGGGUCCAGGAGGAAAGGGUACAAGAUCUGGUGGGCAAGGUUGUGAGGAAAGCCUUCAGGGACCAGCAGGACUACAGACCAGAGUGUGCCCUGUUUGUAUGUAACAAGUGGGACCGGGUUCCAAUAGCUGAGAGGAAGGAAAUUUAUGAAGACACCGUGAAAAAGCUGACUUGCAAAACUGGGUGGCCAGACUGUCAGGAAUCACAGAUAUUCUGUUUUUCUACUUUGGAGGCCAGUUACGUACAAAAGGAACCUCCCCACAAUGUCUACGGCCAGUUUUCCCGUCUCCUGGAGGAGAUUCACAGACUCAUUCCAAAAAGUAGAGAGAUUUAUCUGGUCAAUUCAACAAGAUUUCUGUUGACAUUCCUGGACAAAUGCUUAUUUAGCAUUGACACCAGACUUCCAAAAGAUGGCAUGACUGAGGAAGACAGAAAGAAAGAUAUUGAGACGCACAAAGCCAAGUUUAUGGAAAUUAAAGAAGAAAUCAAAACGUUCUUUAAAGAGCAAAAGAAACAACUAAAGCAAAAAAUUGUUGAAAUUGCAGAGGACCUUAGCAAAUUCUUGAGUAAGAAAGAAAUCAUUGGAGAAAUAUGUGAUGUUUCAAAAUAUGACAAGGCUAUUAAAGCUAGCACAUGGAAAGAUGCCAUGGUUUGGACCCGAGCAGAAUUGUAUACUCAAAUUACCAGUCAAAUUCAGAACUGGGAAAAAAAGCACGGUCUCCUGGAUAAAGCCAGUAAACAGAUAGGAGAUGAAUUCCGCAACAACUUCCCAAAUUUUGGUGCUCGAAUAUCUCAGACUGAGAAAAAAUUUCGAGAUGGUGCUAACAGAACGCUGUUAGCCAGGGCGGAUGAACCGUUUAUCCCCCUUUCAGUUGCCCGUCGAUUUGAGACCUUAGACAUGGGAUUCAAGGUGCUUGUAGGUGUAGGAAUGGCCCCCUUGUUUCUGCUUGGCGCCCUCUUCCGUCUUCCAAUAUUUGGAUUUCUGGAACUGAAGCGUAAAAUAACACAACUAACCUUGCAGUCAACGUUUGAUAGUAAUGACAAGAUGCAGCAAAGGAGUGCAGUAAGACAGUACGCAGAGAGUGUGCUGAUGUCCGUCAUCAGCCCAUUCAACCUAGCGCCACUCAUGAUCAAAGAGGUUCAGCCUCUCUUUAGAUACGUGAAAACCCAGCGGGUCAACCUGACCAAUGAAGUGGAUGCUGACUUGAAGGUGAUUGAGGAGGCAGAAAAAGACAAGAAGGAAGCAGAUGCAUUCAAGAUCAAAUUUGCACCUAUACGAGGAAAAUUCCGGAAAACUGAAGGACGAGCAAGCUACUUUUUAUAUAUGCAUAUGAACAAACCACAUGUCAAGGACUGCAUCCCUGAGUCAGACUUGAAGGAAACCUCUAAUAUAUCAGAAGGUUGUCUGUCUUACAUCAUGCAGGCCGAGGUUAGGGACAGCAAAGUGACAAAGGACUUUACGACAGUAGCUGUACGUCACAGUAAGAUACCUGUGGAUGCCAGCAACAUAAAACAGAUACUAGAGGAUGAUAAGUCGUACAGGUAUAAUACUCUGGUUCAGACGUUGGGGUGUGUGAAGACGUCCACGGAGAUCUGGCAAGUGAUGCAGCCCCUCACCUGCAACCUUCGAAAGCACUUAUUGAGGGCCGUGUCGUCCCUGGAGAAACCUCGUCUCCUUACCCGUCUGGCUUCAGAUGUGGUAGAAGGCCUACGUUACCUCCAUCAGAGAGGCUACGUACAUAUGGACCUGUCUCUAGACACUGUCAUGGUGGAUGUACAUGGUCGUGUGAAGCUGGUAAACUUGACGAUGCCUAGGAAACUGCCCGCCACGCUAUUCCCUUCUGAGGGCGUCCCUGUGCUUAAGUAUGUUCACUUCGAUGGACAGCUGAUGUAUCAACCGGACAAGACUGUAUAUACCAUCCAACACGACAUGUACUCCGUGGGGAUCAUGAUGUACGAAAUGUGGACUGGCCAUCACGCCUUCCAGGACAAGUUUGAAAGCCGCCUUUUUAAUCAACUCGGUCAGCUGAUUAGUGUUCUGAAGGAGAGAAAUUUUGAUGCAUUCCAGCUUCUCAGGAAGGAGCAGAGCUUGGCAAGGGAACAAUUGUGGCUGGACACCAUUGAAAGGUGUCUGUAUGGAAAAGUGAGAGAGCCAGAGGACUGGUUCAAAUGUAUGUACGAACCGACAGGUAUGACUUCCUCUGGAGAAAUUACAAGCCCAAUGAUUUUUUCAUAUAUUCGCUAAGUCUUCCUUAUUGAGACGUAUGGACUGACCUGUUGGAUUUGACUAGAUAUUUUGUGGCAAUAACAUCAGAACAUAUUGGCAGUUAUAGGUAUUAAAUUAUGUAGAACACAUUUUAUUAUACCUGUUUUUAGUAUAAUUCUACAGUUAAUAUAAUAAUCAAUAGCAAAAAUGUUCCCUGUGUGUUUAAUUAUGUAUUGAAGAAUUUAAAAGUAAAGGUUGGUUUGAGUUCAUUUGAUUUAGUAUCCUAUUAACAGAGGUUAUUUAACCCUUUCACCACUGUAGACCAUUAUGGACUCAUACCAUAUCAACCCAUGGUAGAGUCUACUAAAUUACAUAGGGGUGAAAGGGCGAAGGAUUUGCCUCUGUUUGUAAUAUAUGCAUGCAUGUAUGAUUGAGAUUGUUAUGUUGGUGUAUUUGGCUCUUUAUGAUAGGGGGGCGGGGGGGAUCUGAUGCUGACUUUAAGAGUGCUACCUCAGUGAAAUACUGUGCUGAAGGCACCUAGGCACAUUAUUCCUACCUGUCACAUUAUCAUGACAACAGUUUAACCUGUUUUUGCCCGAAAGGCUAAUUCUAAUUCAUUUGAGAUGUGACACAACAUUUGGCUGCGCAGUAUAACCACGAUAUACCAUAUGCAAAUUUCUCAUUUGCAUAUGAAGCCUGGAUGGUGUUGAUGAUGUCAAUGACCCUGAUUGACCCUGAGUAUUCUUGAUGUCACCAAUCUGCAACAGAGUGACCUAUUAUUUGAAGAAAACACCCAAAAAUAUCUUAAAAAUAUUGUUUCUUUUGAUGGUUUUGGCUUCUAUGAAUUAGAAUGGGGAUAAUCCUAGUGUAUGUCUCGCCCUGAGGACAGAACCUAAUGUCUUCCUCACUGUGGCGAAUUUUGAACACUAAGGCCAAAAGUGAGGUAUUUCCAAGCAAGGUGCUGGUAAAUAAAAGGGUUGUUACGAAGUAGAGAUCCCAAAUGCUGCCAUGUGAUUUGUUUUAUAGCAUUUGUAUCCCAGCCUAAUUAGCCUGAACAAACCAUGAUAAUGCUUGUCUGAACUAAAACCACUGAACAAACCAUGAUAAUGCUUGUCUGAACUAAAACCACUGACAAACUAUGAUAAUGCUUGUCUGAACUAAAACCACUGAACAAACCAUGAUAAUGCUUGUCUGAACUAAAACCACUGAACAAACCAUGAUAAUGCUUUCCUGAACUAAAAUUAUCCUAAUCCCUACUACCAAACAAUAAAUUGCAAUGCAUUUUUUAAUUAAAUUAAACUGAUCAAAUGCAUGAGUAGGUACUCUCACUGGAAACAUUGACUUACAAAUUAUUAACGUGUCUUUUUAUUCUAGACAUGUAUGUGUUGUCAUGAUCAAGGUCAGGGCCAGGGGUCAGAGGUCAAAUCAUUACACUCCUUUUUGGGACAAGGACUUUCAACCAACUGAAUAAUUGAUUUAUUUGGAUAAAUAGUAUGAUUGUUGCCAGUGUAUUAUUUACUGUAGAUAUCCUCUAUUGGUUUUAGCAGAGCCAUAAAAGCUUACACUAUAUGGUGUCAGGAUUUAGUAACAUUUUGUGGAAACACUAUAGAAAACAGACAUUGUGAUGAUCGAUUUCAUAUUUUGUAGACAGUUGCUAUUAUAUAUAAGUAUUGAAUUGAUAAAAUUGAAUGAAAACAGCAUUUAUUUUUUAUUUUUAAUGAACUAAAAUUAAUUGUAUACCUUUAUUGUUUGUAGGGUAGUUCAUUCUUGGUAAAAUGUCUGGCUGACUUCUCCACUUUGAGCCAAAAAGUGUGAUAUAUGAAAACAAAAAGUCAUUACUAGUUAUUGGUUGAACAACUUGAAAGCAUGCAGAACAAGUUCGCCGCGAACAUGCUAUGUUACAAAAGUUUUUCAGGAAAAAACACAAUUUUCCACAGGAAAAAUUAAAUAGGUGGAAGCUGAUUUCUACCUUACCUGCUGUCAUGCCCCAUCGUGACAUAGAUAUAUACAUUACCCAUGUCUUUGUGUAUUAUAGAUAUUUUAGUAAUGUAGCUAGUGUAGUAAAUACCCCCGGUUACUAUUAGCAAAGGGUACUAUGAUUUCUUUUGUAUGUGUCUCCAUCAGCAAUUAUCAUGACUGCAGUGCUCAUUUUUGUUUUUAUCUUCAACAAACUUGAUGGGAGUGUGUGUUUUAGAGCAGUACUUACCCCAAAGAUCAAGGUCCCUGUUACUAUAGAUAAAAUAUUUGGAUCAUUGAUCUAGAAGGCUCAUAUAUGAACGCAAAGGCAUGAGUAUUUUAACCCAUUAAGUUCUCCAAAGAUUAAGGUCAUUGUCAAUAUUGCAUUCAGUAAAACCAGAAAAUCAGAAAAUUUCGAAAUAAUAAUCAAGAUUUCGAUGAUUUUGUUGGGAAAUAUUGCUCUAUUCUGAUCAGUACUUGAGGAAUUAGUUCCAAUUUGAUUUUUAAUAUCUCGUUUAUUUUUGAGGGAGUUAUGCCCCUUUUCAGAUAGUUUUCAUCAGAGCAGUGAGUAUAAGAUAACCUUUGGCUUACAAUUCACUUUGACAGUAGCUUCAACAAUUUGUAAAGACAGCAGGCCUUUUUUUAUGGAAAACUUUCUUUACAUGUAUGCCUAUGAACGACUUACAAAGCAAGCGAUGCAUUUUCCUGAUAUUAAGUGUAUUAGUAGACCACCAUAAUGAGAAAACAGGCAUUUUUUGGACUUGUGUUCACUUCUUUUUAUCGAUAUGCCAAAUGUUUGAGUUUUUUGUGAUAAUUGUGUAUGUAGCUGACUUGCAUUUAAACGAAGUCGUGACUAUUAAACAAAUCUGAUUAUA